GGGGCGGGUGGGAGGAUUUUAUUUUUUAAAUUUUAUUUCAUAUGAAACCCUCGUCAAGAGUUCUUCAUACCGCGGGGUAUAUGCUAGUGGAAAACAAGCUUGUAUAAUAUAUAUACAUGCUGUAUAAGGAAUCCUACACUAUUUUUUAAACUCUUUAAAUAAAAAUCCCCGAUUGGCAACCACUGUUAUACAUGUAAUUGCCGCUUUAGAAACCUAUUUACAGUAUAUACAUCAAAAAGAAGAGAAAUGCUCUCUUCAGUUGGACUAUACCUACACCAAAUUUAUUUUGCUUUCUAAGCAAUGGUUUGUAGUCCCCAUUAAAGCAAUAAAAUGUAUUGGUACAAUUGUAUGCAACACAAGUAUUAUGAGUACAGAAUAAAAUUUAAACUCAGUGUUGAAAGCAAUUAUGAUGUAAAACAUGAACUUAUUAACCAAAAAGUAGUUGGUGUUUAAUGACUAAAUUGAGAGUAUUGGGACAGUUCCUGUGUGUUGUUUGUCAACAAAAACAGCAGCCAUGGGUAAAUAUAAGGGCUUGUUAUAAUUAAAAUGCGUGUUUGUUGACUUUUUUUCCUCAAUACACGGUCAUAAAUCAAACAAGUUCGUGCUUGUGUCAAUUUCUUUAAUCCAGUCAUGUUUUUUGUACCAAUUUGUUCUACAUUUCUUUCGCUUUGGAUAUCAUUCACAGUCCAAAUUUCCUGACACAACUCAUUGUAUAAAUAAAGAAAAAAACACGGUUUUCGAUUCACUUAAUGUGACUACCGCAAUUUGCGUUCAAGGACAAGGCGUUUUACUCGUAACUCGAAUAUUUAAUGCCCUUCUCGUUAUCAAUCUCUAUUCUCGGUAGAUGAUGUUGUCAUCAUAGAGCAGCAGAAUAUGUCGACUUAAUAAUUUUCGUUAGAUUACUCGAAGAAAUACAAAAACGAAAUUGAAACAGGAAGUUUUGAAUGAAACGAAAUUAUUGAUG
RNAcentral lists this long non-coding RNA (964 nucleotides) under Mytilus galloprovincialis (Mediterranean mussel). The record is from RNAcentral. Lineage: Eukaryota; Metazoa; Mollusca; Bivalvia; Mytilida; Mytilidae.